AUUGAACGCUGGCGGAAUGCUUUACACAUGCAAGUCGAGCGGCAGCGCGGCCUUCGGGCUGGCGGCGAGCGGCGAACGGGUGAGUAAUGCAUCGGAACAUGCCCAGUCGUGGGGGAUAACACUUCGAAAGAAGUGCUAGUACCGCAUACGUCCUGAGGGGGAAAGCGGGGGAUCGCAAGACCUCGCGCGAUUGGAGUGGCCGAUGUCAGAUUAGCUAGUUGGUGGGGUAAAGGCCUACCAAGGCGACGAUCUGUAGCUGGUCUGAGAGGAUGAUCAGCCACACUGGGACUGAGACACGGCCCAGACUCCUACGGGAGGCAGCAGUGGGGAAUUUUGGACAAUGGGGGCAACCCUGAUCCAGCCAUUCCGCGUGAGUGAAGAAGGCCUUCGGGUUGUAAAGCUCUUUCGGCAGGAACGAAACGGUGGGCUCUAACAUAGUCCGCUAAUGACGGUACCUGAAGAAGAAGCACCGGCUAACUACGUG
Molecule: ribosomal RNA, 484 nt
Filed under: uncultured bacterium
Lineage: Bacteria
Description: partial 16S ribosomal RNA
Rfam family: Bacterial small subunit ribosomal RNA
Source: RNAcentral